RNAcentral lists this ribosomal RNA (403 nucleotides) under bacterium. Its description in RNAcentral is "partial 16S ribosomal RNA". It matches the Rfam family "Bacterial small subunit ribosomal RNA", at positions 355 to 776 of the family's 1533-position model. The record is from RNAcentral.
UGGGGAAUAUUGCACAAUGGGGGAAACCCUGAUGCAGCGACGCCGCGUGAACGAAGAAGGUAUUCGUAUCGUAAAGUUCUGUCCUAUGGGAAGAUAAUGACAGUACCAUAGAAGAAAGCUCCGGCUAAAUACGUGCCAGCAGCCGCGGUAAUACGUAUGGAGCGAGCGUUGUCCGGAAUUAUUGGGCGUAAAGGGUACGCAGGCGGUUUAAUAAGUCGAAUGUUAAAGAUCGGGGCUCAACCCCGCAAAGCAUUGGAAACUGAUAAGCUUGAGUAGUGGAGAGGAAAGUGGAAUUCCUAGUGUAGUGGUGAAAUACGUAGAUAUUAGGAGGAAUACCAGUAGCGAAGGCGACUUUCUGGACGCAAACUGACGCUGAGGUACGAAAGCGUGGGGAGCAAACAGG